UUUUUUUUGUUUGGACCACUGCGGACUAUAAUUGAUGAAUGAAAAAUAAAAAGCGGUUUGAUCCAUUGACGGUUGUGUCCGCCCCAACCGCCGUAACCAUUCACAACCCAUGUUGUAAAACCAAGAAUAACAAAAAAGAUUGUUAAUUGACUUUUUCCGAUAUUAUA
RNAcentral lists this small RNA (167 nucleotides) under Arabidopsis thaliana (thale cress). Its description in RNAcentral is "ATSL049390". Lineage: Eukaryota; Viridiplantae; Streptophyta; Magnoliopsida; Brassicales; Brassicaceae. The record is from RNAcentral.